RNAcentral lists this ribosomal RNA (253 nucleotides) under uncultured bacterium. RNAcentral describes it as "partial 16S ribosomal RNA". It matches the Rfam family "Bacterial small subunit ribosomal RNA", at positions 524 to 776 of the family's 1533-position model. The record is from RNAcentral.
UACGUAGGGUGCGAGCGUUGUCCGGAAUUAUUGGGCGUAAAGCGUGCGCAGGCGGUGAUGUAAGACAGGUGUGAAAUCCCCGGGCUUAACCUGGGAACUGCAUUUGUGACUGCAUCGCUGGAGUGCGGCAGAGGGGGAUGGAAUUCCGCGUGUAGCAGUGAAAUGCGUAGAUAUGCGGAGGAACACCGAUGGCGAAGGCAAUCCCCUGGGCCUGCACUGACGCUCAUGCACGAAAGCGUGGGGAGCAAACAGG